GCGUUCGGGUAAUCGCUGCAAUAGUUCACUAUUGUAGAGGAAAGUCCAUGCUCACACAGGCUGAGAUGCCUGUAGUGUUCGUGCCUAGCGAAGUCAUAAGCUAGGGCAGCUUGCUUAAGCGCAGGCUGACGGCAGGGAAAAUACCUAAGUCAAUUGAUAUGGUAUGAAUACCUAUAAAAGUGCCACAGUGACGGAGCCUAUUCAGAAAUGAAUAGGGUGGAACGAGGUAAACCCCGCGAGUGAGAAACCCAAAUAAUGGUAGGGGCACUUUCCCUGAGGAAAUGAACAGAAGGGAAGGACAGACUGCGGUCUGUAGAUAGAUGAUUGCCACUUCGUACGAGACUUAUCGUCGUUCGCAGUACGUAGUACAAAACAUGGCUUACAGAA
RNAcentral lists this RNase P RNA (387 nucleotides) under Cytobacillus horneckiae. RNAcentral's name for it is "Bacillus horneckiae Bacterial RNase P class B". It matches the Rfam family "Bacterial RNase P class B". Rfam says of the family: Ribonuclease P (RNase P) is a ubiquitous endoribonuclease, found in archaea, bacteria and eukarya as well as chloroplasts and mitochondria. The record is from Rfam by way of RNAcentral. Lineage: Bacteria; Bacillati; Bacillota; Bacilli; Caryophanales; Bacillaceae.